RNAcentral lists this ribosomal RNA (458 nucleotides) under uncultured bacterium. Its description in RNAcentral is "partial 16S ribosomal RNA". It matches the Rfam family "Bacterial small subunit ribosomal RNA", at positions 338 to 795 of the family's 1533-position model. The record is from RNAcentral.
CCUACUGGGGGCAGCAGUGGGGAAUCUUGGACAAUGGGGGAAACCCUGAUCCAGCGACGCCGCGUGAGUGAAGAAGUAUUUCGGUACGUAAAGCUCUAUCAGCAGGGAAGAAAUAGCGACCUUUGGGUCGCCAGACGGUACCUGACUAAGAAGCCCCGGCUAACUACGUGCCAGCAGCCGCGGUAAUACGUAGGGGGCAAGCGUUAUCCGGAUUUACUGGGUGUAAAGGGAGCGUAGACGGCAGCACAAGUCUGAAGUGAAAUGCCGGGGCUUAACCCCGGAACUGCUUUGGAAACUGUGCAGCUAGAGUGCAGGAGAGGUAAGUGGAAUUCCUGGUGUAGCGGUGAAAUGCGUAGAUAUUAGGAGGAACGCCAGUGGCGAAGGCGGCUUACUGGACUGUAACUGACGUUGAGGCUCGAAAGCGUGGGGAGCAAACAGGAUUAGAUACCCGAGUAGUC